This 225-nucleotide ribosomal RNA is filed under the name uncultured bacterium. RNAcentral describes it as "partial 16S ribosomal RNA". It matches the Rfam family "Bacterial small subunit ribosomal RNA", at positions 32 to 240 of the family's 1533-position model. The record is from RNAcentral.
AAUCAACGCUGGCGGCGUGCCUAACACAUGCAAGUCGAACGCGAAAGUCCCGCAAGGGAUGAGUAGAGUGGCAAACGGGUGAGUAACGCGUGGGCGACCUACCUUCGAGUGGGGAGUAACCUUCCGAAGGAGGGCGUAAUACCGCAUGACAUCCCGUGUUUGGAGACACGGACAUCAAAGCCGGGGAUCGCAAGACCUGGCGCUUGGAGAGGGGCCCGCGUCCGA